UACGUAGGGUGCAAGCGUUGCCCGGAUUUAUUGGGCGUAAAGGGCGCGUAGGCGGCUCUGCACGUUCGUUGUGAAAUCGCCCGGCUCAACUGGGCGGGGUCAGCGGAUACGGCAGAGCUUGAGCAAGCUAGGGGGCAAUGGAAUUCCCGGUGUAGUGGUGGAAUGCGUAGAUAUCGGGAGGAACACCAGUGGCGAAGGCGGUUGCCUGGGGCUUUGCUGACGCUGAUGCGCGAAAGCGUGGGGAGCGAACAGG
Molecule: ribosomal RNA, 253 nt
Filed under: uncultured bacterium
Lineage: Bacteria
Description: partial 16S ribosomal RNA
Rfam family: Bacterial small subunit ribosomal RNA
Source: RNAcentral